UGAUUGGCGAGAUUGGGUCAAAGCACACUGUGUUUAUACCCGACAUGAUGCCCUCUCUGUUGGAUCUUCUGAAUGAUGAGAUGCCCGCGGUCGCGAGACAGGCUGUUAAAACGGGAACAAACUUAUUUGCCAAAGUACUGCAAGAGCUCGUUGUCCAGGGUUCAUCUGGUCCUCCGAUGACAGGCUGCUGUCUGAAUCUAGACACCUGGCCCUUCGUCCGUCCGUCUGUUCGUCCGCGUCAUUACUACCCUGAACCCUUUAGAGUUUUAGUUGCUUGUUAUUGGUAACUGUUGUUGCGCUCAAGAUGUCCUGUUUUGGUGUUGCCCAUGAAGACUUUGUUUUAAGUGUGGAUCUAUAUGAGAUGUUAUGUUUCAUCUGCUGAUUCCUGUCAAUAAUAGAUCUUGUUUGAAUUUUGUUCAGCGUUAUUACCUCCUGAGAUAUGUUGUCCAUUGUGUUCUAAUAUUAUUGUUGAAUGGUUUAUAUAUAGUCUUGGGUGGUAAACUAUACCGCAUCUCAGUGUAAUGAUUAUUUAGCUCUGUUGUUCAGGUUAUUCUACUAUAGCCUCGUUUAGAAGUGCAGUUAAGAAUUUCCAUGAUUGUUAUUGUUGGACUGUUCGACAGUAUAAUCGUAGCUACUUCAUGCUAUCCCUUUUGUAACAGUAAGAACUGGCAUUGUUUUACAUGAUAUUUUGUGCUAUAGGAUGCUAUAAUACAUUGCCUAUUGGGGAGUACCCUUGCGAUGUCUUUAUUUUAGUUCCAUGUGUGUCCUUGUAUAAAUGUACCUUUGUUGGCUUACAUUGUUAAUCCAUCAGUUGUGUCCUCAGUGUCAUUGUAAUGUGUUGUCUUUGAUUGGUCUCCUGGGUGUUAAUUUAUAUUUGGGAAUAUACCUCUGUGGGAUGGACGGGACGUCGAUCCGUUGGUAUUCCAAAUGUGUAGGAGAUGUUUGUGCUUUGCGCGAGAUAAUCAUGGUUGGUAGAUUCGGGCAUGAAAUUAGAUGCUUGUUUUGGCCUGUGCCUUCUCCCUGUUUCGAGUUCAUGACGAAUCGAGUUAGUGUUUUAGUUUGUAGUUGUUACAGGUGUAUUCAUCCCAUGGCUUGCUGAAAUAUUGUGCUCGGGAAAUGUUAUUUUUUGGUUUUAGAUUUACCCUUGAGAGCUGGGCUCGAGGUGCUUUAGCUCUGAAUUUAGAGUAGUUUCCUCUGCAAACACACAUCGCUUGCUGUUCUAAUCCUCAAUUUCUAUUCUCAUAUUGCUUCUCGUCUAUUCUAACUAAAAUUUCUGCUCAUCUAUGUUUAAAGUUCAACAGGCUGUCCUGAGAAGAUCAAAUGGCUCCCAAAAGGCGACCAUUUAAGACACAUUGUCAUUCUAUUAUCCCAGUCCUGACUGUGGCUGCCCAUGAGUCAAACAUUUGAUCGCUAUCUCGAAGGAGCACCAUGCUGAAGAAGAAAACACUUGUAGAGCUUGUAACUGUUAUUACACUUGUAGAGCUCGUAAAAUAUUGUAUAUGUUACAUCUUGUAUUUUGUGUUAUUUGUAGAGGUUGUAUUGAAUCAGGCUAUUGUUAUUUGAAGUAUUAUGUGUGUUUUCUGCUUGCCAAUUCAAAUAUUGAUAUUGUUUUA
Long non-coding RNA from Hordeum vulgare subsp. vulgare (domesticated barley), 1613 nucleotides. RefSeq lists it as uncharacterized. The transcript has 3 exons. The record is from RefSeq and is a predicted model, not a curated record. Lineage: Eukaryota; Viridiplantae; Streptophyta; Magnoliopsida; Poales; Poaceae.